UACGUAGGUGGCAAGCGUUGUCCGGAUUUACUGGGUGUAAAGGGCGUGUAGGCGGGUUAUCAAGUCAGAUGUGAAAUUCCAUGGCUCAACUGUGGCGCUGCAUCUGAAACUGAUGAUCUUGAGUGAUGGAGAGGAAAGCGGAAUUCCUAGUGUAGCGGUGAAAUGCGUAGAUAUUAGGAGGAACACCAGUGGCGAAGGCGGCUUUCUGGACAUUAACUGACGCUGAGGCGCGAAAGCGUGGGGAGCAAACAGG
RNAcentral lists this ribosomal RNA (253 nucleotides) under uncultured prokaryote. Its description in RNAcentral is "partial 16S ribosomal RNA". It matches the Rfam family "Bacterial small subunit ribosomal RNA", at positions 524 to 776 of the family's 1533-position model. RNAcentral also lists the same sequence under 1 other name. The record is from RNAcentral.